Molecule: ribosomal RNA, 436 nt
Filed under: uncultured bacterium
Lineage: Bacteria
Description: bacterial SSU rRNA
Rfam family: Bacterial small subunit ribosomal RNA
Source: RNAcentral
GCUUAACACAUGCAAGUCGAGCGGGCGUAGCAAUACGUCAGCGGCAGACGGGUGAGUAACGCGUGGGAACAUACCUUUUGGUUCGGAACAACACAGGGAAACUUGUGCUAAUACCGGAUAAGCCCUUACGGGGAAAGAUUUAUCGCCGAAAGAUUGGCCCGCGUCUGAUUAGCUAGUUGGUGAGGUAACGGCUCACCAAGGCGACGAUCAGUAGCUGGUCUGAGAGGAUGAUCAGCCACAUUGGGACUGAGACACGGCCCAAACUCCUACGGGAGGCAGCAGUGGGGAAUAUUGGACAAUGGGCGCAAGCCUGAUCCAGCCAUGCCGCGUGAGUGAUGAAGGCCCUAGGGUUGUAAAGCUCUUUUGUGCGGGAAGAUAAUGACGGUACCGCAAGAAUAAGCCCCGGCUAACUUCGUGCCAGCCGCCGCGGUAAUAC